This 468-nucleotide ribosomal RNA is filed under the name uncultured bacterium. RNAcentral's name for it is "partial 16S ribosomal RNA". It matches the Rfam family "Bacterial small subunit ribosomal RNA", at positions 28 to 507 of the family's 1533-position model. The record is from RNAcentral.
GACGAACGCUGGCGGCGUGCUUAACACAUGCAAGUCGAACGGAAAGGCCCUGCUUUUGUGGGGUGCUCGAGUGGCGAACGGGUGAGUAACACGUGAGUAACCUGCCCUUGACUUUGGGAUAACUUCAGGAAACUGGGGCUAAUACCGGAUAGGAGCUCCUGCUGCAUGGUGGGGGUUGGAAAGUUUCGGCGGUUGGGGAUGGACUCGCGGCUUAUCAGCUUGUUGGUGGGGUAGUGGCUUACCAAGGCUUUGACGGGUAGCCGGCCUGAGAGGGUGACCGGCCACAUGGGGACUGAGAUACGGACCAGACUCCUACGGGAGGCAGCAGUGGGGAAUAUUGCACAAUGGGCGGAAGCCUGAUGCAGCAACGCCGCGUGCGGGAUGACGGCCUUCGGGUUGUAAACCGCUUUCGCCUGUGACGAAGCGUGAGUGACUGUAAUGGGUAAAGAAGCACCGGCUAACUACGUG